CCUACGGGAGGCAGCAGUGAGGAAUAUUGGUCAAUGGGCUUACGCCUGAACCAGCCAAGUCGCGUGAGGGAAGACUGCCCUAUGGGUUGUAAACCUCUUUUGUCAGGGAGCAACGCCGGCUACGUGUAGCCGGACUGAGAGUACCUGAAGAAAAAGCAUCGGCUAACUCCGUGCCAGCAGCCGCGGUAAUACGGAGGAUGCGAGCGUUAUCCGGAUUUAUUGGGUUUAAAGGGUGCGUAGGCGGAAUGCCAAGUCAGCGGUAAAAUCGCGGGGCUCAACCUCGCUCCGCCGUUGAAACUGGCGUUCUUGAGUGGGCGAGAAGUAUGCGGAAUGCGUGGUGUAGCGGUGAAAUGCAUAGAUAUCAGGAGGAACACCGGCGGCGAAGGCGGCCUGCUGGACUGAAACUGACGUUGAGGCUCGAAAGCGUGGGGAGCAAACAGGAUUAGAUACCCUGGUAGUC
This 460-nucleotide ribosomal RNA is filed under the name uncultured bacterium. RNAcentral's name for it is "partial 16S ribosomal RNA". It matches the Rfam family "Bacterial small subunit ribosomal RNA", at positions 338 to 795 of the family's 1533-position model. The record is from RNAcentral.